GUCUUCGUUGAUGGCAGAGAGAUCGAGCUCUCAGAAGGGGCGCAUCUUGUCGAUGCCCUUGGCAAGGCAGGUGCCGCUCCUGCCGAGGGCGC
This 92-nucleotide transfer RNA is filed under the name uncultured archaeon. Its description in RNAcentral is "tRNA-Ser(aga)". The record is from RNAcentral.